RNAcentral lists this ribosomal RNA (931 nucleotides) under Escherichia albertii. RNAcentral's name for it is "partial 23S ribosomal RNA". It matches the Rfam family "Bacterial large subunit ribosomal RNA", at positions 375 to 1309 of the family's 2925-position model. The record is from RNAcentral. Lineage: Bacteria; Pseudomonadati; Pseudomonadota; Gammaproteobacteria; Enterobacterales; Enterobacteriaceae.
GUACACAAAAAUGCACAUGCUGUGAGCUCGAUGAGUAGGGCGGGACACGUGGUAUCCUGUCUGAAUAUGGGGGGACCAUCCUCCAAGGCUAAAUACUCCUGACUGACCGAUAGUGAACCAGUACCGUGAGGGAAAGGCGAAAAGAACCCCGGCGAGGGGAGUGAAAAAGAACCUGAAACCGUGUACGUACAAGCAGUGGGAGCCUCUUUAUGGGGUGACUGCGUACCUUUUGUAUAAUGGGUCAGCGACUUAUAUUCUGUAGCAAGGUUAACCGAAUAGGGGAGCCGGAGGGAAACCGAGUCUUAACUGGGCGUUAAGUUGCAGGGUAUAGACCCGAAACCCGGUGAUCUAGCCAUGGGCAGGUUGAAGGUUGGGUAACACUAACUGGAGGACCGAACCGACUAAUGUUGAAAAAUUAGCGGAUGACUUGUGGCUGGGGGUGAAAGGCCAAUCAAACCGGGAGAUAGCUGGUUCUCCCCGAAAGCUAUUUAGGUAGCGCCUCGUGAAUUCAUCUCCGGGGGUAGAGCACUGUUUCGGCAAGGGGGUCAUCCCGACUUACCAACCCGAUGCAAACUGCGAAUACCGGAGAAUGUUAUCACGGGAGACACACGGCGGGUGCUAACGUCCGUCGUGAAGAGGGAAACAACCCAGACCGCCAGCUAAGGUCCCAAAGUCAUGGUUAAGUGGGAAACGAUGUGGGAAGGCCCAGACAGCCAGGAUGUUGGCUUAGAAGCAGCCAUCAUUUAAAGAAAGCGUAAUAGCUCACUGGUCGAGUCGGCCUGCGCGGAAGAUGUAACGGGGCUAAACCAUGCACCGAAGCUGCGGCAGCGACGCUGAUGCGUUGUUGGGUAGGGGAGCGUUCUGUAAGCCUGUGAAGGUGUGCUGUGAGGCAUGCUGGAGGUAUCAGAAGUGCGAAUGCUGACAUAAGUAA